RNAcentral lists this ribosomal RNA (162 nucleotides) under Meconopsis punicea. Its description in RNAcentral is "5.8S ribosomal RNA". It matches the Rfam family "5.8S ribosomal RNA". Rfam says of the family: 5.8S ribosomal RNA (5.8S rRNA) is a component of the large subunit of the eukaryotic ribosome. It is transcribed by RNA polymerase I as part of the 45S precursor that also contains 18S and 28S rRNA. Lineage: Eukaryota; Viridiplantae; Streptophyta; Magnoliopsida; Ranunculales; Papaveraceae. The record is from RNAcentral.
AACGACUCUCGGCAACGGAUAUCUCGGCUCUCGCAUCGAUGAAGAACGUAGCGAAAUGCGAUACUUGGUGUGAAUUGCAGAAUCCCGUGAACCAUCGAGUUUUUGAACGCAAGUUGCGCCCCAAGCCUUCGGGCGGAGGGCACGCUUGCCUGGGCGUCACGC